This is a long non-coding RNA of Balaenoptera ricei (Rice's whale), 205 nucleotides long. RefSeq lists it as uncharacterized. The transcript has 3 exons. The record is from RefSeq and is a predicted model, not a curated record. Lineage: Eukaryota; Metazoa; Chordata; Mammalia; Artiodactyla; Balaenopteridae.
GUCAGUUUGAUGGGCCCAUUUAAUUUGCAGAUCCAGUGGGCCUGCUGUUGGAGGAGUUUCUGGCUGUAAGGGAAGGCAGCAGACCCUAAAUACUAAAGCGUGGGACAGACAGACCUGGACCAAUCCCAGCUCAUUCCCUCAUGGGCUACAUGAUGUCAGAAAUGCAGGUUAGACUUUCCUGGUGGGGCAGUGGUUAAGAAUCUGC